Molecule: transfer RNA, 85 nt
Filed under: Alosa alosa (allis shad)
Lineage: Eukaryota; Metazoa; Chordata; Actinopteri; Clupeiformes; Clupeidae
Description: tRNA-Ser
Rfam family: tRNA
About the family: Transfer RNA (tRNA) molecules are approximately 80 nucleotides in length. Their secondary structure includes four short double-helical elements and three loops (D, anti-codon, and T loops).
Source: RNAcentral
GCUAGGAUGGCCGAGUGGUUAAGGCGUUGGACUUCAGAUCAAAUGGAUGUUUGUGUCCUCGUGGGUUCAACCCCCACUCCUAGCA